GGCUCCAUGGUCAAGCGGUUAAGACACCGCCCUUUCACGGCGGUAACAGGGGUUCAAAUCCCCUUGGAGUCA
Molecule: non-coding RNA, 72 nt
Organism: Eubacterium uniforme
Lineage: Bacteria; Bacillati; Bacillota; Clostridia; Eubacteriales; Eubacteriaceae
Source: Rfam